Molecule: ribosomal RNA, 253 nt
Filed under: uncultured bacterium
Lineage: Bacteria
Description: partial 16S ribosomal RNA
Rfam family: Bacterial small subunit ribosomal RNA
Source: RNAcentral
UACAGAGGGUGCAAGCGUUGUUCGGAAUUAUUGGGCGUAAAGGGCGCGUAGGCGGUGCGGUAAGUCUGCAGUGAAAUCUCUGGGCUCAACUCAGAGUCUGCUGUAGAAACUGCCGUGCUUGAGUGUGGGAGAGGUGAGUGGAAUUCCCGGUGUAGCGGUGAAAUGCGUAGAUAUCGGGAAGAACACCCGUGGCGAAGGCGGCUCACUGGCCCGAUACUGACGCUGAGGUGCGAAAGCGUGGGGAGCAAACAGG